This 1040-nucleotide ribosomal RNA is filed under the name Moniezia expansa (sheep tapeworm). Its description in RNAcentral is "bacterial SSU rRNA". It matches the Rfam family "Eukaryotic small subunit ribosomal RNA", at positions 32 to 744 of the family's 1831-position model. Lineage: Eukaryota; Metazoa; Platyhelminthes; Cestoda; Cyclophyllidea; Anoplocephalidae. The record is from RNAcentral.
AGGAGUUCUAGAUUAGCCAUGCAUGUCUAAGUGCAGGCCUUCAUAUGGUGAAACCGCGAAUGGCUCAUUAAAUCAGCUAUGGUUUAUUGGAUCAUCUUCGUUAAAUGGAUAACUGUAAUAACUCUAGAGCUAAUACAUGCCAUGAUGCCCUGACCCUAUCCACUCGCUGGCUGGGGAAUGGGUGCACUUAUUAGAUCAGAAGCCAACCAGUGCAUGCGUUCGAGCCCUUUCCGGGGUGAGAUCGUGUGGGCUGUAGUACUUCUGGUGACUCUGGAUAAUUGUUACAGAUCGCAGUCGACCUUGAGUCGGCGACGGGUCCUUCAAAUGUCUGCCCUAUCAACUUUCGAUGGUAGGUGACCUGCCUACCAUGGUGAUAACGGGUAACGGGGAAUCAGGGUUCGAUUCCGGAGAGGGAGCCUGAGAAACGGCUACCACUUCCAAGGGAGGCAGCAGGCGCGCAAAUUACCCACUCCCAGUACGGGGAGGUGGUGACGAAAAAUACCGAUGCGGGACUCAUUUAAGAGGCUCCGUAAUCGGAAUGAGUGGACUCUAAAUCCUUUCACGAGGAUCAAUUGGAGGGCAAGUCUGGUGCCAGCAGCCGCGGUAACUCCAGCUCCAAUAGCGUAUAUUAAAGUUGCUGCAGUUAAAAAGCUCGUAGUUGGAUCUCGGUAGCAUUGUUGCCUGCAUAGUACUUAACCGUCAGUGUGUGCGUCGUAUUGUGUGCACGUGUGUGUGUGUGUGUGUGUGCGGUGCUCUGCUCGGCUUUGUCUACCUGCGUUGCCUACCUACUGCGCGUUUUCAUACGCCUGUGUAGUGUAAUGUUGGAAAUUUGGCUGGCCGGCAGAUUGUACUGCUACUGCAUGUCAUAUCGUGCCGCGGUGGAUGCACAUGAAGCACUGUCGUGUUGAGCUGGCAAGGCGACGGUGCCACCUUUGAGCCAUGUCUGUGGUCUAGCAGCCGCAGGUGUAGGCGAGUGUCGGGCAGUACUCUGUACUUGUGUGCGGAGUCUAGUCGGCUCGUCUGCAUGCCAAUGGAUGCCC